RNAcentral lists this ribosomal RNA (68 nucleotides) under Acidobacteriota bacterium. RNAcentral's name for it is "Acidobacteria bacterium partial 23S ribosomal RNA". Lineage: Bacteria; Pseudomonadati; Acidobacteriota. The record is from RNAcentral.
AAGCGCAGCAAUGCGUGGAGCUGACCAGUACUAAUCGCCCGUUCGGCUUAAUCAUAAAACUUACCCAA